RNAcentral lists this ribosomal RNA (386 nucleotides) under uncultured eukaryote. RNAcentral describes it as "SSU rRNA". It matches the Rfam family "Eukaryotic small subunit ribosomal RNA", at positions 587 to 972 of the family's 1831-position model. The record is from RNAcentral.
AGCUCCAAUAGCGUAUAUUAAAGUUGCUGCAGUUAAAAAGCUCGUAGUUGGAUCUCGGGUAUCGUCUCGGUGGUCCUGUUCACGCAGGUACUGCCUUGAUGACCUAACCAAUGGUUGUAAGACUCCGAGUGCCCUUCACUGGGUGCUCGUGGGUGGCCAUUGCGUUUACUGUGAAAAAAUUAGAGUGUUCAAAGCAGGCUAUUUUGGCUCGAAUAGUCGUGCAUGGAAUAAUGGAAAAUGACACUGGCGCAUUUCCGUUGGUCUCUGUGACUGGUGUAAUGAUUAAGAGGGACUGCCGGGGGCAUUGGUAUGGCGGGGUUAGAGGUGAAAUUCUUGGAUCCUCGCCAGACCAACAAAAGCGAAAGCAUUUGCCAAGAAUGUCUUCA